RNAcentral lists this ribosomal RNA (244 nucleotides) under uncultured bacterium. RNAcentral's name for it is "partial 16S ribosomal RNA". It matches the Rfam family "Bacterial small subunit ribosomal RNA", at positions 335 to 596 of the family's 1533-position model. The record is from RNAcentral.
AGUCCUACGGGAGGCAGCAGUGGGGGAUAUUGCACAAUGGGGGAAACCCUGAUGCAGCGACGCCGCGUGGGUGAAGAAGCGCCUCGGCGCGUAAAGCCCUGUCAGCAGGGAAGAAAAUGACGGUACCUGAAGAAGACGCCCCGGCUAACUACGUGCCAGCAGCCGCGGUAAUACGUAGGGGGCAAGCGUUAUCCGGAUUUACUGGGUGUACAGGGAGCGUAGACGGAAAGGCAAGUCAGCAGUG